UGGGGUUCUACUUUAAAGUCGUGGUCGUGGACAAUUUGGGAUUUAUUAAGCCAUGUUUUGGGAAUUUUUGUAGUUGCUAGGCUGUGGUUCUAUGUGCUGAGGAGGGAGGCGCUGCUGCUCAUGUUGCUGUUGCUGGAGUCCUCACUUUAUUUGUUAAGACUAUGUAAUGACCGAAUGAUGUUAUUUGUUUGUGUCAUCCUUGACUCUUUACCUACCGCAUGUAAUCCUGCAAUCGGUACUAGUAAUGCUAUGGUUAUUAAAAACUGUUUACUCCUUUUUUUAGCAAUAAUCUCUGCUUAUUAGUCAAGGGGUAGUUAUCACUUGUGAUCACUCGCAUAUCUAGGUUGCCGUCUUAAUCGGGGAUCACAGGAUUUGGCAUCUGCAAUAUUUUCUGAAAUUCCUAUUCUCGUACUGAGUGAAUUUCAUGCUCCCAGACUUUGGGAAAGAAUAAAUAGUGAUGGUGAAACGUCAUCUCAUUUGUUGGAACGGAGCUCAUCAGAUCUGCUCGGUUAGCUUCGUCGCCCACUCUCUUUGCACGCGUCAUUUUGUUAGCAUCACGCAUGGGAGAGGUUACAGCUAGCGCUGCUGACCCUUCCCCCACCAUGACGCUGUGACCGACCACACCCAUGGCUUGCUGCCCCUUGCAGAACCUCGUUGGUUGCAGGCCCGUGCUGGUUGCACCAUGCAACCCUCGGAUUGCUGCCCUUUGCCGAACCUCGUUGGUUGCAGCUGGGCGUUGUGCCGAUUCCAGCUUUGGGCUGUGCUGGUUGCAGCAUCUCGUCUUGUCCCUGCAACCCUCGGAUUGCUGUCCAAUGUGGAACCUCGUUGGUUGCAGCUGGGCGUUGUGCCGAUUCCAGCUGGGCGUUGUGUUGAUUCCAGCUUGGCCUGUGUUGGUUCCAACAUCUCGGCCUGUCGCUUGCAGCUGGUUGCGGCUUGUCUUUGCAACGUUACAACAUCCCCCAUGGGGUAGCAGUGGUUCACGCGCUUUCCAGCAAAACUUUUCGCAUAGAAAAACCGGGGAAGACCAAAGAUCUUGCGCGACCAGAAAAACUGAAAAGAGAAAGAGAGGUAUGCACUGUGAAGAAAGCCCUCUGACCCACUCUUCCUUCCCCCUACCUACCCAUAAGGUAAGUAGGGGCCUCGGCAUCUCUAUUUCCCGAGAAACCUAAUAAAACUACUUCGAGAAACCUACCAAUUCGAGAAACAAUACAAACCUACUAAAAUUUUUUUACUAGCCUCCCUUUUUGGGUGGCUUCCACUACUUGUGCGAGCGAGCAAUUAUAUUUCGGAUAUCCCGGGGUUCUAAGAUCUCGAGCAGAGGAAUCGUUGCGGAUUCCUAGCAAAAUUAGUUGUUGGUUCCAGCAAAAAUUGUCGCCGGUCAAAGAAAAAAGCAGCAAUGUUGUGGAUUCCUAGUUCCAGCAAAAAAUGUCACCUUUCAUAGCAAAAUACAUCGUCUAUAACAACAAAAAGCACCAUCGUGAGAUUGACCUGGGCCUCUUGGGUGUUUAAGCCAGGCACAUGUUGAUCCCUUUAACAUAAGGGGUAAGAGUCUGACGGCGUGCCAAUCAUCACCAUUAGCCACUGGAAUGUGAGGUGAUAUGUUACCCAAAAUCUCAUGUCCGACUCCAUGGUACUUGUCCAUCGUGUUUAUCGAUGAAGCAUGUCGGAUACAUCGCUAAGGAACCUACGUCUGAUGCGCGGACGGCGUCGCACAUAGUCCAGGCCGGCCGCGGGAUCGCUUUUCGUCGAAAGCUGGCCGGUUUGGAUCCCGAGCAUUCUGGCGCAGACUAUGUGCAUGCUGCUACUUGGUUUCUCUCAAGGAAGGGUCGCGAUGUUCGGGCCAUGGGGCCAACCCUCGAUUCGCCUUGGGCUGAUAUAUGGACGUGGAGAUACAUUAGCGGUGUUUGGCCUAUGAGGAUCCCCGUCGCGGCUAUCUGACUUCCCGGUUUGACAUGAGGAUGUGCUACCCGUGUCACCGGUCGUCCGGUGUGACUCUGUUUGUGUCACUGGUCGUCUGGCGUGACUCUUGGACAGGGCCUAAUUAUCCCGCUAGAUCAUCGCCAUCUUCAGAUACUCCAUCCCUUGCUCGAACCUUCGCUUGUCAAGAUGCCCUUUUGGGAAUUGUGUCAUGAUCAGGGCUCCUGUCACUACCUGCAUAUUCUUGGUCAUGCAUGGAUCAAUGGCGUUCGCCUCUUUCACCCGUCUACCUUUCAUGGCUAGGGAGGCCUUGUCCUUUGCCAGCAUGGUCUUUUCGAUGGGAUGGCAAGACCGAAACAACUCCUCACUGCGUCCAGGCCCGCCGCCCUCCUCUUAAAGCAUCUCUUCUCCUUGGAAACCUUGAAGAGAGUCGACACGACUUUCACUCGAACUGCAUCUUGCUCCUUGUUGAGGAAGUCCUGGAUUAGGGGGUCCUUGGAUAGCCGGACUAUAUGCUUAUGCCGGACUGUUGGACUAUGAAGAUACAAGAUUGAAGACUUCGUCCCGUGUCCGGGUGGGACUCUCCUUUGCGUGGAAGGCAAGCUUGGCGAUUCGGAUAUCUAGAUUCCCUUCUCUAUAACCGACUCUGUGUAACCCUAUUCUCCUCCCGUGUCUAUAUAAACCGGAGGGUUUAGUUCGUAGGACAAGAACAAUCAUAAUCAUAGGCUAGCUCCUAGGGUUUAGCCUCUACGAUCUCGUGGUAGAUCAACUCUUGUAAUACUCGCAUCAUCAAGAUCAAUCAAGUAGGAAGUAGGGUAUUACCUCCAUAGAGAGGGCCCGAACCUGGGUAAACAUUGUGUCCCCCGCCUCCUAUUACCAUUAGCCUUAGAAGCACAAUUCGGGACCCCCUACCCGAGAUCCACCGGUUUUGACACCGACACUCGUCUUUUAGGAUCGCUCCAUCAAGCGCUUCAAUAUCCCUAUCGCUGAAUUCUAACACCUCACUGCUUUCCUCCUAGCUUGGAUCUGGCGUGUCUACCAAAUAGCAGGACUCGACCGAGAUUGCCUCCCAUGUGUGGAGAUGCACCAUGGCUCGCGGUUGGUUAUUAGUCAACUCGCACAUCUCCUUAUCAUGACCAUUGAUACGUCUUCAUUGUAUCUACUUUUCCAAACUCUUUUACCCUUAUUUUGGACUCUAAUUUGCAUGAUUUGAAUGAAACUAAUCUAGACUGACGCUGUUUUCAACAGAAUUGCCAUGGUGUUGUUUUUGUGCAGAAAUCAAAGUUUUUGGAUCGACCUAAAAAUUUAUGGAGAUUUUUGUGGAAUAAAUAAAAAAAAUACUGGUGCAAGAAGUUACCAGAGCGCUCCACCCAGAGGCCAGAAGCCCUGGUGAUGUAGGGUGGAAACCCUAGGGCCGAUCUUUCACGAUUUGGAGGGGAUCCCGCGAAGAAGACGAAGAACACGAGGAGACACACGAGGGAAAUCACAAGAGGAACACUCAAAUCCACGAGAAUCGAUUACACAUGUGCUAGAUCCAUGAACACAAAGUGGUCACAAAGAUCCAAAGACAACAAAGUAAGGAUACAAGUAGCUAGUUCUUCUCCAAGAGGAGUUCUUGAAUCCAAGAUGGAUCUUCUCGUAGGUGGAGGCUUGAAUCCACUUGGGGGAUCUUCUCCUAGUUGGAGGGCUUGGCCUUCAAUGGAGUAGGUAUCAAGUGGAUGAGAAAAGCUCUAUCUCUCAUAUGAGCUAAACAAAUGCUAAACCUACAAAGAUGAAGGAGGAGGAGUACAUAUAGUCUAGGGUCACGAAAGGGUACAUGGGCCUCGGCCCAACACACUAUGCACAAACAGGCGCCGGUCAUCUGACAGCUACCGGACGUCCGGUGGCUCACGGGGGUCCGGUCGUCCGGUAGUUGUCAAACGUCUGUCAUUUUGGCUCUGAUCAGGCGGCGUCGAAUUUCCGAUGGACGUCGGACAUCCGGUGGGCCGAUCGUCCGGUGGACUUUGGACUUCUGACAUUUUGGUUCUGUGAUGGUGGCGCCAGUCGUCCAGAGGGGUUCGGCCGUCCAGGCGCUGGGAGGUGUCGGACGUCCGGCCCAUGUCGGUCGUCCGUCCGCUUAGCGUGCGCAGGCUGGGGCUCGGCUGGCUGGCUGGCGCUUCCAGGCGUCAAAUAUCCGACAAGUCUCGGUCGUCCGGUGGUUGGAGAUUUUCUGUCAGCUCCUCUUCUUGUUCCUUGUACUUGGUGUCCUCGCCGUCUUGGCCAUUGGAUGUAGUUGCUCCGUGGCUUCCCCCUAAGUACCUGAUCACACAUAGGGUAUCCGCUUGAGGUAGUAGUCAUGUCUUACAUGAAGAAUGUAUAAGUUCGGAGAGGAGCGAGUUCACCUUAUCUACGAUAGCCUUUGCUCGAGCUCUCGUCACUGGUCCAAGUGGUGUUGUGGGAGACAUAGGUAGGUACAUGGGGAUGACCUUAGGAUGCUCCGCAUCAUCUCCACCCCUGGGAAAGAGCCGACCUCGGAUCGAAAUCUUCAUCACCAUGGUAGGGUGAGAGAUCCUUGACGUUGAAGAUAUCGCUCACGUUGUACUUGUCACGUGGGAUGUUGAUCUUGUAUGCAUUGUUGUUGUAGCAUUCUAGAACUUUGAAGGGUCCAUCAGCUUGAGGUAGAAGCUUGGACUUGCGUUCAUUGGGGAAGCGUUCCUUGUGAAGGUGUAGCCACACAAGAUCUUCAAUGUUGAAUAUCAUGGGUUGCUUGUUGAUGUUGAGCUUGGUCGCGAGGCGUUGUACUUGGCGUUUGAUGGUGUGCCUUGUAUCUUCAUGCAUCUUCUUGAGGUAGCUCACUCGUGCACUCACUCCAUGUUGAUGUGCUCUUGUAGCGGUAGCGGUAAGAUGUCCAAUGGGGACAACCGGUUGAAGCCGUAGACGAGCACAGAGGGGGACUUGCCGGUAGUAGAGUGUCUUGCGCGAUUGUAGGCAUACUCGGUGAUGGGUAAACACUCCUCCUACUCCUUGAUGUUCUUCUUGAUCAACACACGGAGGAGAGUGGAUAGCAUCCCGUUCGUGACCUCCAUUUGGCCGUCGGUUUGUGGAUGGAAUGCCGAGGAGGACAAGAGCUUGAUUUCGAGCUUGGCGCAUGGGGUCUUCCAAAAGUAACUUAGGAACUUGACGCCACGGUCCAAGAUAAUAGUCUUUGGCACUCCAUGUAGGCGCAAGAUUUCCCUACAAAAGAGAUUUGCAACAAGUGAAGCAUCGUCUAUGUUGUUGCAUGGAAUAAAGUUUGCCAUCUUAGAGAAACGGUCCACAACAACAAACAUAGUCCUUUCCAUUUUGAGUUCUAGGCAAACCAAGCACAAAGUCCAUACUAAUAUCUUCCCAUGGGUGAUACGGAAUAGGAAGUGGCAUAUAGAACCAUGUGAUUGAGCUUUAGACUUAGCUUUGCGAUAUGUAGAGCAUCGCUUGGUGAAGCGUGAGACGUUGCGGAACAUCUUGGGCCAAAAGUUAUUCUUUGAUAGUGUAGCAAAUUUCUUGUCGCAUCCAAAGUGUCCCAUAAGUCCUCCAUGAGAUUCUUGCAAAAGUAACAAACAAAGAGAAGACUCGGGGAUACAUAGUUUGUUAGCUCUCAUAAGAUAACCAUCUUUGAUGUAAUAGCGUUCCCAAGAUGUAUGUGUCAAACAUUUGGCAUAGGGAACAUUUGGCAUAGGGAAUAUCAAAAGUAGGAUCAUGCACAUACAAGUCUUUUAUGUGCUCAAAGCCAAUGACACUCAAUUCUACUUUAGUAACAAGCAUGCAUUUGCGGGAAAGAGCAUCCGCCACAACAUUCUCUUUGCCUUUGAUGUACUUGAUGAAGUAAGGAAAUGACUCAAUGAAUUCACUCCACUUAGCAUGACUCUUAUUCAACUAAGGUUGACCCUUAAGGUACUUAAGCGUUUCAUGGUCGGUAUGAAUGAAAAAUUCGUGGGGGUGAAGAUAAUGUUCCCACUCACGCAAAACUCGCCCUAAAGCAUAUAGCUCUUUGUCAUAGAUGGGAUAAUUGAGUUGCGCUCCGGAAAGUUUUUCGCUAAAGUAAGCAAUAGGGUGCUUCUCUUGCAUUAACACACCCCCUAUGCCAUGACUGCUAGCAUCACAAUGGACUUCAAAAGUUUUGUCAAAAUUGGGUAACUCAAGCACGGGAGCAUGUGUAAGGAAAAUUUUAAGCUCAUUGAAUGCGAUAUCUUGGGAUGGUCCCCAAACAAAAGGUGCAUUCUUAUUACUCAAGGCAUGCAAAGGAGAUGCAAUGGUGCUAUAAAGUCCUUAAUGAAUCUAUGAUAGAAACCGGCUAAGCCAAGGAAACUUCGCACUUGUUGCAAGUUGGUUGGUUAUGGCCAAGUUUAAAUAGCAUUUUAUCUUAGAUUCAUCUACAUGAACACCUAGGCAACGAAACCCAAAAAAACGAGCUUGUCCACACCGAAUUUGCAUUUCUCCAUAUUAGCAUAAAGGCACUCUUUUUAAAGAGUUUGCAAAACGGUUCUAAGAUGGGUGACAUGAUCUUUGAGAGAUUUGCUAAAGACAAGAAUAUCGUCAAAAUAGACCACAACAAAUACACCAAUGUAGGGGCGAAGAACAAAAUGCAUGACGCGAUGAACGUACCGGGUGCUUCAGAUAAGCCCAUUGGCAUAACAAGCCAUUCAUAUAAGCCAAAUUUGGUCUUAAAUGCGGCUUUCCAUUCAUCACCUUCUUGUAUGCGGAUUUGGUAAUAUCCACUUUUAAGAUCAAUUUUAGAGAAAAUAGUGGCUCCACUAAGCUCAUCUAGCAUAUCAUCAAGGCGUGGAAUAGGAUAUCUAUAAUGAACGGUGAUAGCAUUGAUGGGUCUACAAUCGGAACACAUGCGAAAACUACCGUCUUUCUUAGGCACUAGUAUGACCGGUAUGGCACAAGGACUUAAACUUUCACGCACAUUCCCAUUGCCAAUGAGUUGUUGUACUUGCCUUUGUAUUUCCUUGGUUCCUUGAGGGUUGAUGCGUUAGGGUGCCUUGUUAGGAAGCGGUGAGCCAGGGAUGAGGUCGAUUCGGUGUUCGAUGCCUCAUAGUGGAGGUAGUCCCGAAGGUAGUUCAUCUUGGAAGACGUCCUUGAAUUCCUGCAAGAUAUUAGACAACACUAAAGGUAGAGGGUGAGAGGUGUUAGUUGUUGUUGCCUCGUCGUUGCACAAUAGGCCAUAGUGCAUAACACUUGAUGGGUUCUCACACACUUUUCUCAUCCCACUUUUGGUAGCGAAUAUCACUAAGUUUUUCUUGUCGCUCAUCAUGGAGGCACUCAUUUUGGGCUUGUGGAUCUCACUCCCUUUUGGAUGGCUCACCCUCUCACUAUUCUCUCCAUGAUGGGUGGUUGCUUGCUUGUCGGCGAUCACUUGGUUUGGUGACAUAGGUCGUAGCACGCACUCCUUUCCCUUCAUCUUGAAGCUAUAGUGAUUGAUUCUCCCAUUGUGGAUGACGCCGCGGUCAAAUUGCCAAGGUCGUCCAAGUAGGUAUGGCAAACGGACAUGGGAACCAUUUCACAUUCCAAAGUGUCUUCAUAUGCUCCGAUCUUGAAGGAUACUUGAGCCAUGUGCUCCACUUGAAUGGUGCCGGAGUCGCUAAGCCAUUGGACCUUGUAGGGCGGAGAUGCUUCAUCUUGACCAAUUGUAGCUUGGAACAUAGCUCUUCACUUGCCAAGUUGUGGCAACUUCCUCCGUCGAUGAUAACCUUCAUGGAACGACCAUUGAUGCCCGCUUUGGUGUGGAAGAGGUGGCAACGUUGGUCUUCCUCUUGUUGGUGUUGGAGCAUCAAGACCUUGGAGACAACGAGAGCGGGGCUCGAAUCAUUGUCACAAAAGACUUGAUCAUCUUCAUCUUCAUUCACUUGCUGGUGCAUGUCCACAUGCUCAAGGGCUUCCAUUUCCUCUUUAGUCAUGGAGUCAUAGGUGCCGUCGUUGUUGAGGAUUAUGGUACACUUAUUGGUACACUCGAAGGACUUGUGGCCUCGGCCGUCGCAUGUGAAGCAUUUGAAGGAGCUCAUCUUGAUGGUCUCAUCGAUUGGAGUAGAUGAUGAAGCUCUCGGCUUGAAGUUGCUUGUAGGAGGUGGAUGACUUGAAGAUGUCAAAAUUUUCUUGGAACUUGACUUGUGGCCAUUGCUUGGUGAAGCUUUUGUCGUAGAAGAAGGCGUCGAAGUCGUUGAAGCUUGGUUGUAGGAAGAGGCAUAGGACUUGGAAGAGAAAUUGGCAUACAUGAAGUCAUCUUGCACUUGUUGCCCCGCCUUGGUAGCUUGGUGCACUAUCUCGAUGAGGUUGGAGUAAGUUUGGAAGUUGGCGAUCUUCUUGAUAGGAUGAUUGAGUCCAUUCAAGAAACCUGCCAUAGUUUGCUCAUCAUCUUCCGUGACAUUGGCUCAUAUCAUGGCGAUCUCCAUUUCCUUGUGGUACUCUUCAAUGCUAUUUGUUCCUUGCUUGAGUAGUUGUAAUUUCUUGAAGAGGUCGCGGUUAUAGUAGGUUGGUACAAAGCAUGCUCUCAUGGCAUCCUUCAUUUGAGUCCAUGUUGUGAUGGGUGGUUCACCUCUUACCUCUCGGUGCUCAAUGACUUGUUCCCACCAAAUAAGGACAUAGUCUUGGAACUCAAGGGAUGCCAUGGCGAUCUUCUUAUCUUCUUCAUAGUCAUGCAAGCGAAAGAUCUUGUCAAUCUUCAAUGCGCAUGACAGGUACUCUUUGGGAUCAUUGCUUCCGAAGAACUUGAGCAUGGUGAACUUGAGCUUGCUGUAGCAUUGCUCUUCAUUGUGUUGGGGUCGAUGGUGAUGGCGUUCUUGUCAUGGAGGAGGGUCUUGGGCCACUAGCUCCUCGUGCUCCGCUUGAUUAGCGUGAUGUUGAGGUCGUGGAAGGUUAGCAUGAUUCCUCAUUUCUUGGCGCUCCUCAAUACGGGCGGCUUCUUCUUGUAGCACUUGGUGGAGGGCCUCUUCUUGAAGUCGUGCUUGGCGGUUGUGCUCGUUGACGACCAGUGUAGCUUCGUGAAGAGCACGUUGUGCUUUAAGGUUUUGUUCCUCAGGAUGUUGUUGCUCUUGUCGAGGUGCAUUGCCAUCUUGGUGUUGUUGUCGAAUGGCAUCACCAUCUUGUUGUUCUUAUCGAUCUUAGUGUAUUGGAUCUUGAUCUUGGACCAUAGGAUCAUUAUCUUGUUGACAUUGUUGUUCACGUGCCCGGAGACGGUCUUGUAAACCAUUGCCAUGGAAUGGGUUGUGCGGAGCUUGAUGAUCUUCAUGGUAGUGGCAACGGUACGAACGAGCUCAAGGAUGACUUGCAUCCGAAGAAGAUUGCGAAUAAUGUCGACUUGAGUGGCCCCGUCAUGAAUAGGAUGAUGUCCUAGAGGAGCGAUUGACCAUCAUGGCUCAUAUGUCUUCCUUGAGAGAGGCCAUUGAUGUGUCAAAGUAGUCUCUUGUACGUUGCUCGGAUUGUCACAAGUCGGUAGCGAGUAGGUCGAUGCGGUCGCCUAAUGCUUCAUUCUCUCUAUGCAAAGCUCUUUGUGCGCUGAAGAGGUGGUUCUUGGUGACGUAGAUGUUUGGGUCCUCAUCUUGCUCGAUGAAGAGUGGAUUCGAAGAAGUAGUUAGCCUAUCCAUCAUCUCAAGCAAAUGUAAGUGAAAGAAUGAAAAGAACUAGACCAAAUGUACCUUACCCGAUGUUGAAAAUGGAUCAAUGAUCACUCAAUAGUGUAACAAGGGAGUAGCACAAUUGGUACUGAAUCUCGUCGAUUUAUCACACCUACACAAAUUUGCAAAUGCAACAAGUAGACAAAUAGCAAGUAGAUGUAACCGGAAACACACAGACAUGAAAACAUAAAUGGGGUCAUGCAACCAAAAAUGAGCUCAAAAUGUGGAAUCCAUGGAAAAUGCUCUUGUUGCACAACACUGGAGAGAUGCUAGCAUGAUUGCUCAAUAGGCGGAUACGAGACUUUUGCACAACCUACAAAGCAAAAAUGCUACGACUUCUAUCCCAAGUAUGCUCUAUGUAUGAUGUUCCGGUGAUAUGAUCCAAGAUGAUCGAGUAUGACAAUCUUAAAGUAGUAUGAUGCUAUGGUUCUUGCUUAAAAGCUCUUUGCUUAUCUUUCUCUUUUGCUUAAAAGCUUGUUUGACUCUUUCUCUUUUGAGCUCUUUCUCAUGCAAGACUUGAAGAACCAAGGUAGAUAUUGUGUAUAUGCGGUGACAACCUUGUGACACAAGAGAUAAUACCAAGAUAUGUAUACCAAGAAGAUAUGAUAUAUGCAAUGAUCACUAAUGUGCACAAGUAACAUUGCCGACAAUACUCAAAGGCUAGUCUCGAUAGGUAAGUGAUGCGAAAAUGGGCUAUGGGGUUAUCAAUGCAAUGGCAAGGAGUACACAAAGUGUCGUCGAGGUUACGGUCCUUGCUUACGGUGGAUGGUGUCAAAAUGAUGAAGAGGUCGAGGUCGAUGAUAAAGAUGAGCGGUGGUGACGUCGAUGUCGAACCAUCCUUAAGUAGCCAAAACAUGAUAGGAGACGAAAACCGUAACUCAAAUUCGCAAAGACCAAAAGUGGCUAAAUUGUCGGAGUUGGUAGCGGGUAAGCGAUGGUGGUUGCGGAAAGCGGUGGUGGUAUGCUGCAAUGCAAUGUGGGGUUAUGGGAGUGGUGGUGCGGAAGGUGAAGUGGGCAGCUAGAAAUUUUCGAGCGAAAUUCAGUUCUGUCAGGAAAUGUCGGACAUCCGGUGACUGUCGGACGUCCGGUGCUUGGGCUAUUUCGGGCACGGGAUGAACUUCUAGGGUUCGCGGUGGACAUGCAAAAUUUGGUCAAAAUUUGACGGAUUUGUGGAUGGAAAAGGGGGAAAUGAUGGGGAAAAGCUAGAUCUACCUGCAAUACAUCAAAUCCACGAAUCAAAUCCAGCAUAACUUCAUCACACCAACAAAUCACAAAAAAAAGU
This 10830-nucleotide long non-coding RNA is filed under the name Triticum aestivum (bread wheat). RNAcentral describes it as "long non-coding RNA (TAES_LNC016663)". Lineage: Eukaryota; Viridiplantae; Streptophyta; Magnoliopsida; Poales; Poaceae. The record is from RNAcentral.